Molecule: transfer RNA, 86 nt
Filed under: Ceratobasidium sp. AG-Ba
Lineage: Eukaryota; Fungi; Basidiomycota; Agaricomycetes; Cantharellales; Ceratobasidiaceae
Rfam family: tRNA
About the family: Transfer RNA (tRNA) molecules are approximately 80 nucleotides in length. Their secondary structure includes four short double-helical elements and three loops (D, anti-codon, and T loops). Further hydrogen bonds mediate the characteristic L-shaped molecular structure. tRNAs have two regions of fundamental functional importance: the anti-codon, which is responsible for specific mRNA codon recognition, and the 3' end, to which the tRNAs corresponding amino acid is attached (by aminoacyl-tRNA synthetases). tRNAs cope with the degeneracy of the genetic code in two manners: having more than one tRNA (with a specific anti-codon) for a particular amino acid; and 'wobble' base-pairing, i.e. permitting non-standard base-pairing at the 3rd anti-codon position.
Source: Rfam by way of RNAcentral
CCCUUGGUAGCUCAGUUGGAAGAGCGCAAGACUGUAAUUGUAAACACGACAUCUUGAGGCCAUCAGUUCGAUCCUGAUUCAAGGGA